RNAcentral lists this ribosomal RNA (761 nucleotides) under uncultured bacterium. RNAcentral describes it as "bacterial SSU rRNA". It matches the Rfam family "Bacterial small subunit ribosomal RNA", at positions 1 to 810 of the family's 1533-position model. The record is from RNAcentral.
CUUAGAGUUUGAUCCUGGCUCAGGAUGAACGCUGGCGGUAUGCUUAACACAUGCAAGUCGAACGGUGUCUUCGGACAUAGUGGCGGACGGGUGAGUAACGCGUGAGAAUCUAGCUUCAGGUCUGGGACAACCACUGGAAACGGUGGCUAAUACCGGAUGUGCCGGAAGGAGAAAGGCUUGCUGCCUGAAGAUGACCUCGCGUCCAAUUACCUAGUAGGUGGGGUAAGAGCCUACCUAGGCGACGAUCGGUAGUUGGUCUGAGAGGAUGACCAGCCACACUGGGACUGAGACACGGCCCAGACUCCUACGGGAGGCAGCAGUGGGGAAUUUUCCGCAAUGGGCGAAAGCCUGACGGAGCAAUACCGCGUGAGGGAGGAAGGCUCUUGGGUUGUAAACCUCUUUUCUCAGGGAAGAACACAAUGACGGUACCUGAGGAAUCAGCAUCGGCUAACUCCGUGCCAGCAGCCGCGGUAAUACGGAGGAUGCAAGCGUUAUCCGGAAUGAUUGGGCGUAAAGCGUCCGCAGGUGGCUGUGUAAGUCUGCUGUCAAAGAGCAAAGCUCAACUUUGUAAAGGCAGUGGAAACUACACGGCUAGAGUGCGUUCGGGGCAGAGGGAAUUCCUGGUGUAGCGGUGAAAUGCGUAGAGAUCAGGAAGAACACCGGUGGCGAAGGCGCUCUGCUAGGCCGCAACUGACACUGAGGGACGAAAGCUAGGGGAGCGAAUAAGAUUAGAUACCCCAGUAGUCCUAGCUGUAAACGAU